AUUACAAAUAUUUACAUAUUAUGUAGGUACAUAUUUCUAAAGAUUUUUUUUUGUUUUUUAAAUUAAGAUAAUGAGGUUUUUGAACAGAAAAGAUGUUUGCACUUUGGUGAUAAUUUAAAUUUUGGAUAGGUAGGUAUUUCUGAAAGGAUUCUUUUGCUUGACGAAUUAUUUUUGAAAUUAGGGAACCUGUAUCGGAGCAAUUAAAAUUUCAAAAACGGAGAGUAAAAAUUCUUGAUGUUUCAAAACAUUUGAAAUAAUUUAAUUUCGUAAAAUUCAAGCGCAAAUUCUAAGUAGUUCUAUUUAUCAACACUAAUAAAAAAUUCUCGAUCGCAUUGCCUACUUAGAACUUACAGUGUGUUGAAAAAUUUGAGGAACUAUGUACAUAUGGAACAAAAACGAUUGAAAAAUAAUGAUUUUUGAAAUGUUUGAAAAUUCGUGAAAAUUUUGUCUUACAAUAAAUUGUCAUCUCGACUAAAAUCUGAUACCUUGUGAGGUGCCCUGUAGGCCACUCCAUUUGAAAAGUAUAAUUUAAAUUAAUAAAUGAAUCAAUUUCUCAUCUACAAACGAAACUAGUUAACUGUGUAGAUACGUUUGCGCGCGCAGGCUGAUUUAAAACAACGCGUCUAAUUUUAGAAAAGUACCUACUUCUACACGAGUAGAUAAAAUCACGUAACACAAACACAAAACACAAUCUGCAUCUGCUUUGUCGCAGCUACAGCCUACUAUUUUAUCAAGCGCGUCGAUUUUGAUAAUAACCGCAACUUCAGUAGCUAAAUGUGCUUGUCGAUUUAACGUACUAAGUAAGUGUUUUUGCAUAAUAUCGACGAAAACUGGUUAUCAACUGACUGAAAUUAGAAUAUCUUGUCAACUUCAAAUCUCUUGUGACUAAUAUUCAGCAGCGAUGAACGUCAUGUUAUAUGUACAUGCGUUUGUAUCAAUAUGGGUUAUCUUUUUUUCACAAAUUACCGCUGAAAAAACAGUCACGAUUGAAGUUCCCAGAGAGCAGUGGUACUACGUAACGACGCCUACAACACCAUCACCAAACUACACAACAACAGCACCAACAACACCAACAACACCAGUAACAACACCAUCAACACCAGUAACAACACCAUCAACACCAUCAACACCAUCAACGACAACCACCGAAAAACCAUCUUGCGGCCCCGUGUACGAACACAUAUUGAAAGGAUGGGUAGAAAAUAUAUUCUAUACGGGUCAUUCUGAUGACGGAAUUGUGUGUUAUAUUGCUGUCAUUGAUGAAUCAUCGCCGCUAAAUUUGGUAUAUCAUGCGAGUUUUUCUCGUUUACUGUGCGAUCGUGCUGAAUUUGAGAGCAUAAACAGUCGUAGAACUGAAUUAUGGAGCAUCUCUGAUAAAGUAAGAGGGAUUCCAGUAGCUGUUGGAAUACAGCGCGCUGGCUGGCAAGGUGUUUUCCGUUGUAAUAUUUAAAUUCUGUCGAAUGAUAUUGUCACCAGAGAAAAAAAAUAAUUUUUCCUAUCAAGUAUACAGGUACAUGUUACUUAGGUAUAUUCACCGAAGACAAUACGAUUAUCAUUUUAGCCCAUUAUUUCAUUAUUCUUUAAUACUUUAUUUGCAAACUUUCUUUGUAAAUUAUAAAACUUUUCCAUCAUUAAAAAUUAUUUUAUCCAA
Planococcus citri (citrus mealybug) is the source of this 1651-nucleotide long non-coding RNA. RefSeq lists it as uncharacterized. The record is from RefSeq and is a predicted model, not a curated record. Lineage: Eukaryota; Metazoa; Arthropoda; Insecta; Hemiptera; Pseudococcidae. The transcript is spliced from 2 exons.